RNAcentral lists this ribosomal RNA (587 nucleotides) under uncultured bacterium. RNAcentral describes it as "partial 16S ribosomal RNA". It matches the Rfam family "Bacterial small subunit ribosomal RNA", at positions 355 to 1375 of the family's 1533-position model. The record is from RNAcentral.
UGGGGAAUAUUGGACAAUGGGCGCAAGCCUGAUCCAGCAAUGCCGCGUGCAGGAUGAAGGCCUUCGGGUUGUAAACUGCUUUUGUACGGAACGAAAAGGCUCUGGCUAAUACCUGGGGCACAUGACGGUACCGUAAGAAUAAGCACCGGCUAACUACGUGCCAGCAGCCGCGGUAAUACGUAGGGUGCGAGCGUUAAUCGGAAUUACUGGGCGUAAAGCGUGCGCAGGCGGUUUUGUAAGACAGAGGUGAAAUCCCCGGGCUCAACCUGGGAACUGCCUUUGUGACUGCAAGGCUGGAGUGCGGCAGAGGGGGAUGGAAUUCCGCGUGUAGCAGUGAAAUGCGUAGAUAUGCGGAGGAACACCGAUGGCGAAGGCAAUCCCCUGGGCCUGCACUGACGCUCAUGCACGAAAGCGUGGGGAGCAAACAGGAUUAGAUACCCCUGGUAGUCCACGCCCUAAACGAUGUCAACUGGUUGUUGGGUCUUAAUUGACUCAGUAACGAAGCUAACGCGUGAAGUUGGACCGCCUGGGGAGUACGGCCGCAAGGUUGAAACUUAAAUGAAUUGACGGGGUCAUAGCUGUUUCCU